Molecule: ribosomal RNA, 253 nt
Filed under: uncultured bacterium
Lineage: Bacteria
Description: partial 16S ribosomal RNA
Rfam family: Bacterial small subunit ribosomal RNA
Source: RNAcentral
UACAGAGGGUGCAAGCGUUAAUCGGAUUUACUGGGCGUAAAGGGCGCGUAGGCGGUCAUGCAAGUGAGAUGUGAAAUCCCUCGGCUUAACCGAGGAACUGCGCCCAAAACUACCAUGCUCGAGGAAGAUAGAGGUGAGCGGAACUUACGGUGGAGCGGUGAAAUGCGUUGAUAUCGUAAGGAACACCCGUGGCGAAAGCGGCUCACUGGGUCGUUUCUGACGCUGAUGCACGAAAGCUAGGGGAGCAAACGGG